UAGAAUUAAUUUUGAAAUGAUACACCUAACUGGGGAUCUGAUGGGAAGAUAUGUGAUACUUGUUGCUAAACUUAAUGGCUCUAUAUAUACUUUGGUUAACGUUUAUGCACCAAAUUCAUGCCCAGGAGAUUUUUUGUACAAAAUUAUGGAAAGGGUUGAUGAAUUAGCAUGUGGUAACAUCAUAAUUGGGGGAGACUUCAACUGUGUAUUGGAUCCAGCACGGGAUAAAAGCCAUAAGAAUGUUAGAGACUAUAAAUUUGUAAAUACCCACGUCUCCGAGUUUUCUAAAUUUUUAGGCAGGAAUUCCCUAUUUGAUUGUUGG
Non-coding RNA from Pelobates cultripes (western spadefoot toad), 322 nucleotides. The record is from the annotation of a GenBank genome assembly. NCBI's taxonomy places the organism in Eukaryota, Metazoa, Chordata, Amphibia, Anura, Pelobatidae.